The sequence is a ribosomal RNA, 524 nucleotides long. The stretch from base 197 to 350 matches the Rfam family "5.8S ribosomal RNA".
GAAAAUGCUUAUUUUCCGCGGCCUAUCUUUAACCCUUUGUGUUUUCUACCAUGUUGCUUCCACUGGACAGGUUGGCUCGAAAAACUAGUCGUCGACCCUCCGGUUUCGGCUGGGGAGUGCCAGUGUGUAUAGCCCCCAAUCUAAAACUUCAUAAAAACCAUUUGAUAUCCAGUCUGAAUAAAUUGAAAUUGAAUAAAACUUUCAACAACGGAUCUCUAGGCUCUUGCAUCGAUGAAGAACGCAGUGAAAUGCGAUACGUAAUGUGAAUUGCAGAAUUUCGUGAAUCAUUGAAUCUUUGAACGCACAUUGCGCCUUAUGGUAUUCCAUAAGGCAUGCCUGUCUGAGUGUCAGCUAAGCCCCCCACUCAAGCAUUUUUGCUUGGAUUACUUUGGAAAAGCCAUUUGUCCAAUAGAUGGCUUUCCAUAAAAGCAUAGGCAGUAUGGAGUUUCCCAUGGCUGAACGUAAUAAUGAAAAACAUCACGUUUGCUUUGGAGCUUCAAUGGAGCCCUCAACCCACCAAUUUU